GACGAACGCUGGCGGCGUGCCUAAUACAUGCAAGUAGAACGCUGAAGGAGGAGCUUGCUUCUCCGGAUGAGUUGCGAACGGGUGAGUAACGCGUAGGUAACCUGCCUGGUAGCGGGGGAUAACUAUUGGAAACGAUAGCUAAUACCGCAUAACAGUAGAUGUUGCAUGACAUUUGCUUAAAAGGUGCAAUUGCAUCACUACCAGAUGGACCUGCGUUGUAUUAGCUAGUUGGUGAGGUAACGGCUCACCAAGGCGACGAUACAUAGCCGACCUGAGAGGGGGAUCGGCCACACUGGGACUGAGACACGGCCCAGACUCCUACGGGAGGCAGCAGUAGGGAAUCUUCGGCAAUGGACGGAAGUCUGACCGAGCAACGCCGCGGGAGUGAAGAAGGUUUUCGGAUCGUAAAGCUCUGUUGUAAGAGAAGAACGAGUGUGAGAGUGGAAAGUUCACACUGUGACGGUAGCUUACCAGAAAGGGACGGCUAACUACGUG
Molecule: ribosomal RNA, 495 nt
Filed under: uncultured bacterium
Lineage: Bacteria
Description: partial 16S ribosomal RNA
Rfam family: Bacterial small subunit ribosomal RNA
Source: RNAcentral